Molecule: long non-coding RNA, 1097 nt
Organism: Vicia villosa (hairy vetch)
Lineage: Eukaryota; Viridiplantae; Streptophyta; Magnoliopsida; Fabales; Fabaceae
Exons: 5
Source: RefSeq, a predicted model, not a curated record
CACUAGGGUUGCUUCUAUUUUGAAAAAACCACGUUCUCCCUCUUCCUCUACCUCUCUCUUCCUCUUCCUCUUUCUUUUGUAUCUCUUUCUCUGAUAUUGUUCUCUUCUGAUUUCUGUGCAGAUGAAUAUGAUGUUGAUGGAGACGGUGAACACGUUGCUGAUGAUAUCGUGAUGUUGAUGGUUUGUUUGCUCAAGCUAUGGAAUUUGUGGUCGGAGUUGAAUGUAUACGACGAAGAAGACGCCGAUUCUCCUCAGAUUUUAGAGAUCUGUAACCGUUCAAUCACAGCAAUCCAGAGCGAUUCGUUUUACCGAACCUUUUCAGAUCCCCUUUUCAUAUCGUCACUACUAUCCAUACCGUUGGUAAGAUUUUGUUACUAUACUUUUAUUGAAUGUGUCUGAUUGUAUAGUUAUCGUGAUGUGCGUUAGAUAUGCGGCGUUCAGUUUCACGGUGGCCGAUCUGCGGUGGCAACAACAUGUUUCCGUCAGUGACUGUGGUGGUGGGAUUUAUGGUGCCAUGGCUGUUGCGGGGAGUUUUAUAUGUUCGAUUACCAUAAUUGACUAUGUUGGAGAGGCUUAUGAUCGAACAAUGAAGGAGGCUAUACAGUUCUAAUGCAUAUGACACUAUUCUCCUCGGGAAAUAUUGCAGAGGCUUAUGAUCGAACAAUGAAGGAGGCUAUACAGUUGACAAAAUGAAAGUAGCUUUUAUAGACAAAAACAAUUUUGUAAUUUGUCCAUCCUUCAACGUUUAUUUUGGUAUCGUACGGAACCGAAUUUUAUGCGGCAUACUGCAAGUUUUCAUGUGGAAAGCAGUUGAUUUGGUGCAGGUCUUUCCCAUUGUCCUUAGUUGCACCCAAUGGUGAUAAAUAAACAUGAUUGCACCUACAGGAGUCACAUGUUUUUCCAUAGUGAUGUUGUUACCGACGACAAUGGUUUAUUCGGAAAGGUUAACGAGGUAUCGUCGUGGUGCUUUAGGAGGAAAGAUGAAGAGAGAGAUAAUGGGAUGAGGCAUAGCUUAUCUGGAAUGUUUCCUACUAUUUCUUUGUUUAAGGGGUAUCAAAAUGUAGCUAUGGCCAUAAAUACUCUCAUUCAUUGGCUUU